GACGAACGCUGGCGGCGUGCUUAACACAUGCAAGUCGAACGGAAAGGCCCUGCUUUUGUGGGGUUCUCGAGUGGCGAACGGGUGAGUAACACGUGAGUAACCUGCCUUUGACUUUGGGAUAACUUCAGGCAACUGGGGCUAAUACCUGAUAGGAGCUCCUGCUGCUUGGUGGGGGUUGGAAAGUUUCGGCGGUUGGGGAUGUACUCGCGGCUUAUCAGCUUGUUGGUGGGGUAGUGGCUUACCAAGGCUUUGACGGGUAGCCGGCCUGAGAGGGCGAACGGCCACAUUGGGACUGAGAUACGGCCCAGACUCGUACGGGAGGCAGCAGUGGGGAAUAUUGCACAAUGGGCGGAAGCCUGAUGCAGCAACGCCGCGUGCGGGAUGAAGGCCUUCGGGUUGUAAACCGCUUUCGCCUGAGACGAAGCGUGAGUGACGGUAAUGGGUAAAGAAGCACCGGCUAACUACGUG
This 468-nucleotide ribosomal RNA is filed under the name uncultured bacterium. Its description in RNAcentral is "partial 16S ribosomal RNA". It matches the Rfam family "Bacterial small subunit ribosomal RNA", at positions 28 to 507 of the family's 1533-position model. The record is from RNAcentral.